UAUAUUUGGUUCUAAUCAGUUGUUUGGUAUUUUUUUGUGCAGCUCCUUUGAAUCUAAUUCCAGUCACUGAUUUUGACAAAAUUGUGAAUGAAUUACGACUUCAAUACAAAAGGAUUUGCAUUGAGUUUCAUGUUAGGGAUGGCGCUAGAAGGCCUACUCAAGGAGCAGCAAGGAUGAUCUUUAAUUUCCUGUUUUCUGUAUCACUCAGUUUCUUAAGGUUGUACCAGCUACGCUCCUCCUGUUUACCUCGCCAUCGUCUUGAAUAUUUUGUGGUUGAGAUUCAUAUUGUAGCAUUUCAUAAAGAGAAGAAAUAGGAUACUCAUAGCAUGAUUCUCAAUGGAAGAAAGAUAGUAGUAGCAAUGACCAAAAAAUAGAAAGUUUAAGCCACUCCACAUUAUUAUUGUUGAGAUUCUGAAAUGGGAAAUUCUAUUUUUUGAUGCUAAAAAUGGAAAAUUCUUUGUAUAUAUCUCUAAACUUACAUAUAAAUAAUUAUUCUUCUGGAUUAUAUAAUCCUCCAGCAUGCAUAGUACUUCCCUUAAGUUCGUGAACAAAUCGCAUAGCAGGAUAUA
Long non-coding RNA from Medicago truncatula (barrel medic), 569 nucleotides. RefSeq lists it as uncharacterized. The transcript is spliced from 3 exons. Lineage: Eukaryota; Viridiplantae; Streptophyta; Magnoliopsida; Fabales; Fabaceae. The record is from RefSeq and is a predicted model, not a curated record.